AGAGUUUGAUCAUGGCUCAGAUUGAACGCUGGCGGCAUGCCUAACACAUGCAAGUCGAACGGUAACAGAUAAGAUGAUCUCUUCGGAGUGAAUCUUUGCUGACGAGUGGCGGACGGGUGAGUAAUGCUUGGGAAUCUGCCCAAUAGUGGGGGAAAACUCGGGGAAACCCGGGCUAAUACCGCAUAAUCUCUACGGAGGGAAGAGGGCCUCUACAUGUAAGCUCUCGCUAAUGGAUGAGCCCAAGUCAGAUUAGCUAGUUGGUAAGGUAAUGGCUUACCAAGGCUACGAUCUGUAGCUGGUCUGAGAGGAUGAUCAGCCACACUGGGACUGAGACACGGCCCAGACUCCUACGGGAGGCAGCAGUGGGGAAUAUUGCACAAUGGGCGCAAGCCUGAUGCAGCAAUGCCGCGUGUGUGAAGAAGGCUCUAGGGUUGUAAAGCACUUUCAAUAGAGAAGAAAAGCUUGAAAUUAAUACUUUCAAGCCUUGACGUAAUCUAUACAAGAAGCACCGGCUAAUUCCGUGCCAGCAGCCGCGGUAAUACGGGAGGUGCGAGCGUUAAUCGGAAUUACUGGGCGUAAAGCGAGCGUAGGCUGUUAAUUAAGUCGAAUGUGAAAUCCCCGGGCUCAACCUGGGAACUGCAUUCGAAACUAUUUAACUAGAGUAUGGGAGAAGAAAGUAGAAUUUCCGGUGUAGCG
This 696-nucleotide ribosomal RNA is filed under the name uncultured bacterium. RNAcentral describes it as "bacterial SSU rRNA". It matches the Rfam family "Bacterial small subunit ribosomal RNA", at positions 8 to 680 of the family's 1533-position model. The record is from RNAcentral.